RNAcentral lists this ribosomal RNA (492 nucleotides) under uncultured bacterium. RNAcentral describes it as "partial 16S ribosomal RNA". It matches the Rfam family "Bacterial small subunit ribosomal RNA", at positions 29 to 507 of the family's 1533-position model. The record is from RNAcentral.
AGUGAACGCUGGCGGUAGGCCUAACACAUGCAAGUCGAACGGCAGCACAGUAAGAGCUUGCUCUUACGGGUGGCGAGUGGCGGACGGGUGAGGAAUACAUCGGAAUCUACUUUUUCGUGGGGGAUAACGUAGGGAAACUUACGCUAAUACCGCAUACGACCUACGGGUGAAAGCAGGGGAUCUUCGGACCUUGCGCGAUUGAAUGAGCCGAUGUCGGAUUAGCUAGUUGGCGGGGUAAAGGCCCACCAAGGCGACGAUCCGUAGCUGGUCUGAGAGGAUGGUCAGCCACACUGGAACUGAGACACGGUCCAGACUCCUACGGGAGGCAGCAGUGGGGAAUAUUGGACAAUGGGCGCAAGCCUGAUCCAGCCAUACCGCGUGAGUGAAGAAGGCCUUCGGGUUGUAAAGCCCUUUUGUUGGGAAAGAAAAGCAGCAGGUUAAUAUCCCGCUGUUCUGACGGUACCCAAAGAAUAAGCACCGGCUAACUUCGUG